RNAcentral lists this transfer RNA (74 nucleotides) under Actinobacteria bacterium ADurb.Bin346. RNAcentral's name for it is "tRNA-Gly". It matches the Rfam family "tRNA". Rfam says of the family: Transfer RNA (tRNA) molecules are approximately 80 nucleotides in length. The record is from RNAcentral. Lineage: Bacteria; Bacillati; Actinomycetota.
GCGGGGUUAGUACAUUGGCAGUACAUAAGCUUCCCAAGCUUAAAAGGCGGGUUCGAUUCCCGUACCCCGCUCCA